This 61-nucleotide transfer RNA is filed under the name Ceratocombus japonicus. RNAcentral describes it as "tRNA-Cys". The record is from RNAcentral. Lineage: Eukaryota; Metazoa; Arthropoda; Insecta; Hemiptera; Ceratocombidae.
GAUUUUAUAUUCAAUAUAUGAUAUUAGAUUGCAAAUCUAAAGUAGUUAAUAACUAAAAUCU